Molecule: transfer RNA, 77 nt
Filed under: Actinomycetota bacterium
Lineage: Bacteria; Bacillati; Actinomycetota
Description: tRNA-Ala
Rfam family: tRNA
About the family: Transfer RNA (tRNA) molecules are approximately 80 nucleotides in length.
Source: RNAcentral
GGUCAGGGGCCUAGAGGCCGACUCUGCGCGCCACGUUCGCAACGUGGAAGUCGGCGGUUCGAAUCCGCUCACCUCCA